AGUGCUGCUGUACAUUCGAGGGAGAUCAGAAAUGCUGAGCUGUGUCAUGUACGUCACAUCCCACAGAAACCACCCUGAGGAACCCGGUGGAGCCACAUGGACACCAGCAAGGAAGGUCUGAGAUUGUCUGCUGGCUUCUCUCAGAGGAAUGUCCUGAAUGGAGCUUGCUGUCAACACAGCUUUCAAGACAAAGAAGGUGUUGCUCUUGAUGACAGCAAUGGGGUCCCAGGGGAAGAAGCAAUGUUCCUAGACAUACUGGAG
Molecule: long non-coding RNA, 261 nt
Organism: Melospiza melodia melodia
Lineage: Eukaryota; Metazoa; Chordata; Aves; Passeriformes; Passerellidae
Exons: 3
Source: RefSeq, a predicted model, not a curated record